This is a long non-coding RNA of Ixodes scapularis (black-legged tick), 4077 nucleotides long. RefSeq lists it as uncharacterized. The record is from RefSeq and is a predicted model, not a curated record. The transcript is spliced from 3 exons. NCBI's taxonomy places the organism in Eukaryota, Metazoa, Arthropoda, Arachnida, Ixodida, Ixodidae.
CGUGACGUCACCUCGCCGCGCUCUGAUUGGAGGAUGGCUCCGGGCGGGAGCUCGGGGGUAAACAAAGCGGUGUCGUCUUUUCUCCGCAGCCAUUGCGGAAGGCCUUUUCUGUGGCUCUCGGAAAUCCACUGCUAGUGCUUGAACGAGGACGCGGCAUACGGAAAAAAGAGACCGGAAAUACCUCCAAAUGUACGUUACUUCGUUUGACGCGAAAGAAUUUACCCUGGGAGCAUACGAAGCACCAAUAUGCGUCCCGGUCUUCGGCGGUGAGAUGUUGAUGUGAGCCCCCCCAACGUCAGCACGGUGAUGUGCGACGCGAGUGAGCCUUUCUACUUUUUGGCGGAGACCCCUUUUCGCCAGCAAGUGUCUCGGUGUUUCCGUGAAGCACCGAAGUGUAGCUACAGCCCUCUUCGGCGAGCUGAACGGGCUGCCGAGCUUUCGAAGGCCGAUCUCCCGCAGCGCUGGAACCCGGAGAACCGCGCCAUGGCGCUCGCUGAGAAUCCACCGGCUGCCGGGCUUCUGAAAGGGCCCUCUGCUCGGAGGACAUGUUGCGGGCCCUGUGUAAUGCCCUCGGCGCCUGUGCGACUUCAGGGGGUCUGCGUUUCACGGCCCCGUUACCAGCUGGGAAAUUCUCCAUGGAGGGGACGACAUCCUGUCCAGCACCAGCUUCACCAUCUGGGACCAAGUGCACGAGGGGUCGCACUGCAAGCAGAUGAAAGGAGGGCACUGCAACCUUGAGGUCAAGCUUGUACAUCUACCAUUACAGUCCUGAAUGGAUGCCAAUUGGUACUGAUGACCUUAUGAAGGUGAAACGUCCCUGGAUCUAAAGGGAAAAUUUGAUUGAAGCCGAGCUGAAGUUGUUUCUGACUUUAUCCUCUUAUGACUUGAAAGUAAUCUGCCUACUUCAUGAAUAUUGAAGAUGCAGAAUUUGUUUCCGUAACUGUCCCACUUCAACGUUAUGUGCACAUUGAAACCUGUUCCUCUUCUUUUUCUGCUUUCCGGCGAGAAAAAAAAGCCAACGAAUCUCCCUUUUCCUUCUCGCAAUGGGGAGGUGUGCAAGACUGAUUGCAUAUUUUAUAUAAGCAAUCAGUUUCAUAAGUGAAUGAAGAUAAAAGCAGAAUACAUGUUCACAGAUUAUUUGUGAAUUCUUAGACUUGCUGAAGUGAGUAGUUUAUGUUCGAGUCAUGUAAUUAUGAAGUCAAAACCAGAUUUAGUGCAUUUUUAAGAAGCCUUUUAGACCUGAGAGUUCUGUUUUGACUCAGCAAUACACAACUCACCUUUGUUAUUCCUAUAGCACAGCCAAAACUAUAAACAUGAGCAUGUUGCCUGACCAAUGCUUGAACUGCCGUGAAAUCGACGAAGUCCCUAUCCUUCGAGAACAAGUGUCAACGGGGAAUAGUCGAAAGACCAGGGUCAAGUAUGCACACACAUACUUGAUUUCAAGCUUGCAGAUUGAAAUAAUUGUUUAUUGAAUCAUAUCCAUUCUUAAACCUGUUUGAGAUUGUAUUGGUUCAUAUUCACAGUAUAUUUAUUUUUCAUUUCAGCAAGGAAUAAUUUAGAGACAGAUGUUGGUGUUCAGGCGUGAUGCUUUUAUUUUUGUAACAUGCAAGAGGGCAAAAAAUUAGAUUCGGCUUUGUAAACUGAUUUUUUUAUGUAUUCUUCCAAACAGCAUAGCAAAGAAUAAUAUAAGGGCUACAGCUGCGAGAGUUGCUACACCUGGCAUCUCAUUUGUUUUAUAGCAUGUACAGGUGAGACACUAUACUCCGUUUCUCGGUAAAUUGGCAAACAUUGUGACCCAAUAAGAGCAUCGGAGCCAGGCACGUGACAACACUCCACGGUCGAGUCCUCGUUAUUGCCACAGCAAGAGCGCCAUCUGCGACAAAACAUAGUUCUAGGCUUUGUUUUUUCUUCUUCUUUUAGUAGUGUUGCCGUCGGAUUCUUCGGACCGCAACACUACACGACACUGCAGAAAGACGAAGACACAUGUUACUGAUUAGCGACACUUAAUAUAGAUCAACACUUUUUUGAGAAAAACAUGGCUUGUGAUCGAAGUUCAAACAAUCGUAGCCGUGAAUCGACCACUUCCGCUCAAAACAUCGCCCUAGCAUUAGCACCCGCCACAGAUUCAUGGGCAAAUUGAGCAUGUGGUUGUAAGACGACAGCCGGUUCUGGCGGGUGGUCCUUGCAUUUGGCGCGGUGACACGAACGCUCCUGUGACAUGCGUCCAUGUGCCUCGCUCCGACAUUCUUACUGGGUCGCAGAAGCCGUAGCCUCCACAGUUCACCAAGCUAUCGUGAAACAGAAUGUAGACUAAGUUGCCUGCGUGCUAAUGAAAGUAGCCUUGCCAGCAUCAUGUAUUAUGUAUGAAACACUGUAUACUUCGAGAAAACAAAUAAAGUUAUUCAACCUUUCCACUGAUUGUGUUUGUUCAUUAGUAAAACUUGGUUCAGUGAACUUUACAUUUCAGCAUUAGCAUGGACACAACAGGUAAGGUCAAUCACAAGUGCUUUAGAGCGGUCCGAACAGUUUCCAAGUGGCUCAUGCAAAGCAGCUGACAUGGUAUUACCCCCAGGAAAGAGAUGAGACGUCCUCGACAAAUCUACUCAAGGCCCACCAAACUGAAUAUUAACGUUUCUAGGAAAUUGGAAUCAACCAAACAAUUCCAUGGAAAGGUACACCACAAACAGCAUUGGUGUGAGGGUGAGCCCUAUCUGCAGCGACAAUACUGAAGCCUCGCAUGCCACCAUUACUAACACAUGCAAGUAGUCAAUCGGCGCCUGGCAUACUUGGGCAUUGAUGAAACAAGGAAAGAUGAUCAAUGAGUGGACUAGGAAUGUGGAUCCAAAUGGGAAUGUCUUCACAAUCGCUGUAUGACCACCAUCUGUUGGUGUGUUUCUGGAUGUCAACAGCCCAUCUGGGACCUAGAAAUGACAAAUGAUGUUAGAAAGUUUGUCACUUAUACACUGGCUUUUGCUUGACCCAGUCUGCUGAGCGAACAAAAAUAUGUACAUGUUAGUCAUUGUUUACUCCCGUGUCAAUUUCAUGGGGCGCUCGUUAGCUAGGCUUGGAUAGUGCGCGAUCUCCGAAUUUUUAUCUUGGUAUGGGAACGAAAAAAAAGACAAGCGACACGCAAAAACACGUCAGACACUGACAGCGUCGAUGUGGUUCCAAGAUACACUGCGCAACACAUUUCGCAGAAAGGCGGCAUCGGUACUUCGUCGGCAAUUCACUCAUACUGGCUAAUGUGAAACGGCAAAUUUGUACUGUCCGAGUUGGUUCACUGUAUUACACGUAACAGCCAUUCAUAUUUCAUUCCUGAAAGAAAAAACGAUCGCGUUUUUGCGGCAAGUUUUGAGCUCUGUGCUUUUCUACAGUGCCAUGAUUACAACCGUAGGCUGCAACUACUAUACCAAAUACGAUGUAUGACUAUACUGCGUCUCACCUAAAUGCGAACGAAGCGAAAAUUACAAACGCGAGAAUCUGAUCAGCGCUUGUACUGCAAGAUCGCACAUGCAUGGCAGCUAUGAUCAAAGCUCGGGAUUCGCCCAUGUAGAUUUAACUUCGACCGCAUUUAAAAUGAAACGGAACAUAGCUUAUACGGCCUCCGUGCAGCUUCGAGUCGAAAUGACGAGUGUGUAUAUUCCUAAGUAUCACCUGCGAAGAUAGGCUUCGGAGGAUCGCGAAAACGCUACAUUCUCGGCCGUUUUUUCGAUUAAUAGCGCCCAUCGACUCCGCCACAUAAGAUUUAUAAAGACCUGCUAGAAGGCAAAAUCCGUUGUGUUCGUAAAGGAAGAACAAGAUAAAAGGCAACUUACCGGUACAAUCGGGCGGCGGUCUCGUAGUGACCGGCGCAACCGGCGUUUCAAUCGCGAGGCUAGGCAAGCGCCUUCUCGUUGGUGCUCUUCGUCGUCUUCAUCUUGGAAUCUUCGAAAUGCCUCUAGCAGACGACGGAGGAAUCGUAAGGGGCACAAAGCUGCUCGAUCUUGUGGACUCGGCAAAUUUUAACCGGGCUACAAUAAAUAAAAGACUCGCGAUCGCCGCUACAACACGGCCGCCAUGGCCGACGCCGAUGUUUGU